Girardinichthys multiradiatus is the source of this 471-nucleotide long non-coding RNA. RefSeq lists it as uncharacterized. The record is from RefSeq and is a predicted model, not a curated record. The transcript has 4 exons. Lineage: Eukaryota; Metazoa; Chordata; Actinopteri; Cyprinodontiformes; Goodeidae.
AUUCACAGUUGAUCACUUACGGCCUUCGUGGUUUUUGCGGUCACCCGGCCUACGUAGACCAGUCCUUCAAUGGAUGCAGUCCCUGAAUUUGGACACAGCACUCAGACACUUCACCAAUGGAUGGCAUUUAAGGCUGACCAGGGCUUUUCCGUACCCUCAGCACAAAUAGUAAAGGGAUUUGCUUGUUUCCUCUAUUGUUUACAUUUGAUGGUGGAGUUUUCCAUCUCCUCCAAAGGAAAAUUCUAUGAUGUCAUCAAUUCUGCUCUCUGGUGGCUGAGUUAUUUACAAAUAAACUGGUCUGAGUGUGUACCAUGGACUAUUUCCUCUGGGGGCCUCCCUCGGUCCUAAGAUUGUUGUGGACGUACCUCUGCAUGCUUCUAGCUGGCCUGUAAGAACUUUACGGAUCUCUGACACCCACAUAUUCUUCACAUCCAUGGAGGGAGCCUUGGGUAGAGAACACACACAUACACA